ACGAACGCUGGCGGCGUGCUUAACACAUGCAAGUCGCACGGAAAGGCCCUGCUUUUGUGGGGUGCUCGAGUGGCGAACGGGUGAGUAACACGUGAGUAACCUGCCCUUGACUUUGGGAUAACUUCAGGAAACUGGGGCUACUACCGGAUAGGAGCUCCUGCUGCAUGGUGGGGGUUGGAAAGUUUCGGCGGUUGGGGAUGGACUCGCGGGUUAUCAGUUUGUUGGUGGGGUAGUGGCUUACCAAGGCUUUGACGGGUAGCCGGCCUGAGAGGGUGACCGGCGACAAGAGGACUGAGAGAGGGCCCAGACGGCUACGUGAGGCAGCAGUGGAGAGUAUUGCACAAUGGGGGGAAGCCAGAGGCAGAAGCGCCGCGUGCGGGAUGACGGCUUUCGGGGUGUAAACAGCUUUCGCAUGUGACGAAGCGUGAGUGACGGUAAUGGGUAAAGAAGCACCGGCUAACUACGUG
This 467-nucleotide ribosomal RNA is filed under the name uncultured bacterium. RNAcentral's name for it is "partial 16S ribosomal RNA". It matches the Rfam family "Bacterial small subunit ribosomal RNA", at positions 29 to 507 of the family's 1533-position model. The record is from RNAcentral.